UGCAUGCAUCCUAGCGAAGUUAUUUAUCUCGCUUUAUCUCGAUUAUUCGGCGGCCGCUUACGCCCCUAAUUUCCACCGUUGGCUCCUCGUAUUUUCUUAAUGAUAUCGAAAUAAAAUCCCAAAAUUAUAAAAGUGUGUAAUUAAAUUAACGCAACCACUUUCCCUCGAACUACAUUUAUUUCGGACUUAUGUUAUAAUUAUUCAUUCGUUGAAAUAUUCCGGAAUUAAUUAAAGAAUUCCCCACAAUUAAUUUAAUUAUCAAUUCAAAGAUUUAUUUAAAAAGCUCAAACCUAAUUAUUUCCCACCUUAUAUCUCCAUUUAAAUUGAAAAGCCUAAACAAAAUUAAUUGGGGCCCAACUAACCAUAUCCUACCAUUUAAAUUAAAAAGGCCCAAAACUAAGUCUUCUUCCCUUUUUUUUAAAAAACCCAGCGGCCCUUCUUCUUAAGAUAUUUUUAACAGCCCAAAGCCAUUUUUUUUUAUCAAAAGUCCCAAAUGAAAAAAAAACUCUCCCCACCUACGUGUAACACACUCUAUCUCCUCCCUCCCUUCUCUCUAUCUCUCGACAAAAUUAGAGAAACUCACGACUGCCGGCCGAUUCAUCCCCCUCGGCACCGGCCGUUGCUCGCUAAUCUACCAGAAGAGGUACUGCUGUCUCGCCUGGAGAACGUCGCGGUCGCCGCUGCUCUCCGCACGCCGUCGCUGCUGUGCGGUUCAGCCGUCGCUGCCGUUUCGCGCCGCUGCUGCUCGUCGCCGGAGUCCGCCGCUGCUGUCACGACGGCCCUGCUGCCUCGCCGUCCAGCCCUCGCCAGCCACUGCGGUCGUCACUCCCGGCGUUCCGUCGUCGCACCUCCAACUCCGCUAGAGCCGUCGGAAGAGCGACGCCACUACUGUCAGCGACGCGUCCAUCCAUCAAUUCCGCCACCCGUUGCUCCUAUUUACCCCGAAACAGACCCGACGCCUCCGACACUAACCCGACUCUCCCCGCAAGUUAAGUUCUCAGAUUUGAUUCCAGUUCUUCAAAGAAUGCAGCAGUUUCAAAACGUAUUUGGUUGGAGGGGGUGUAUACCUUCAACAAUCUGAGACGGGUAAGCUGUAAAUAAUAGAGGUUGUCGCUUCUAUCUUCCUUUCUCGGUCCUGUUCAAGAAGUUCAAUGAGUUUGGCGAUUUGAUUUAGAAGUAAAAACGUGUACAGAGAUGGAGAUUGCCAAAUUACCUUGAAUUGAAAUUUGAAGAGAAUUUCUUGUUUUGCUGCAGAGAUGGGAAGAAAGAAACAAAGAGUGCAGUCUGUAUGAGUAGGAGAUUUGGUUGAGAGGUUGGAGAGAUUUGGGGAGAGAUUCAUGGGAGAGAGGGGCGGUUGCAGAAUCGUGUAUUGAGGGGGAAGGUUCGAUUUUUUUUCUUUUUUUUUCUUAUUUCUGAUUUACUUGAAUUUAUUUGGUAUUUUAUUUGUAGAUUACGGAGGAUGAAGAUAUCUGCAGGGUCUUUAUUUAGUAAUUGGAUUAAUAUCAAGGAGAAUCUUUAAUUAAAUUAGUUUAA
RNA transcript from Salvia splendens (bonfire salvia), 1533 nucleotides. RefSeq lists it as uncharacterized. The record is from RefSeq and is a predicted model, not a curated record. Lineage: Eukaryota; Viridiplantae; Streptophyta; Magnoliopsida; Lamiales; Lamiaceae. The transcript is spliced from 2 exons.